AGGGAGUAUGUGAGUAUAGUAUUAAAUGAAAAAGGACAAGAAACUUAGACACAAAAGUAAUAACUAAAGAAGUACACUCUCAAUCAAAACUUCAAAUAGAAAUUGAAGUGAGGCUGGCACGCAACAAAUAGGAUACAUGUCCCUUUUUAUGACCUACUACGAUUCGAAGGAAAAAGUUCAGUGCAAAAGGGAGGUCUAUCUUCAUGGGGUCAUGAGACUGUUGACUCAAUAUUUUACCUUUUCAAAUAGUUUACACAUCGUUCUCAACUUUAUCAAGAAUUAACUACAGAUUUAACCUACGUGCUGCUUCACCUCACAAACAACAUUUGUCCUAGUCAAUGGUAGGCUGCAGGCCACGAUGGUGGCUAUUGGGAUCCCUAUGUUUUAAAUUACUUUGAAAAAAACUUUGAAGCAAAUUAUUAGCAUCUCAAUCCAACUCUGACCAUCCUUUGACUUAUUUUAUGUUUCUG
RNAcentral lists this long non-coding RNA (470 nucleotides) under Setaria viridis. RNAcentral's name for it is "long non-coding RNA (SVIR_LNC006410)". Lineage: Eukaryota; Viridiplantae; Streptophyta; Magnoliopsida; Poales; Poaceae. The record is from RNAcentral.